GUGCUCACUUCAGCAGUACAUAUACUAAAAGUGGAAUGAUACAGAGAAGAUUUGCAUGGCCUCUGCCCAAGAAUGGCAUGCAAAUUUGUGAGACAUUCCAUGUUUUU
This 107-nucleotide small nuclear RNA is filed under the name Dasypus novemcinctus (nine-banded armadillo). Lineage: Eukaryota; Metazoa; Chordata; Mammalia; Cingulata; Dasypodidae. The record is from RNAcentral.